Molecule: ribosomal RNA, 207 nt
Filed under: uncultured bacterium
Lineage: Bacteria
Description: partial 16S ribosomal RNA
Rfam family: Bacterial small subunit ribosomal RNA
Source: RNAcentral
CGCGUAGGUGGUUCGAUAAGCGAGAUGUGAAAGCCCCGGGCUUAACCUGGGAACGGCAUUUCGAACUGUCGGGCUAGAGUAUGGUAGAGGGUAGUGGAAUUUCCUGUGUAGCGGUGAAAUGCGUAGAUAUAGGAAGGAACACCAGUGGCGAAGGCGGCUACCUGGACCAAUACUGACACUGAGGUGCGAAAGCGUGGGGAGCAAACA